AGUUUGAUCCUGGCUCAGGAUGAACGCUGGCGGCGUGCCUAAUACAUGCAAGUCGAGCGAACGGACGAGAAGCUUGCUUCUCUGAUGUUAGCGGCGGACGGGUGAGUAACACGUGGAUAACCUACCUAUAAGACUGGGAUAACUUCGGGAAACCGGAGCUAAUACCGGAUAAUAUUUUGAACCGCAUGGUUCAAAAGUGAAAGACGGUCUUGCUGUCACUUAUAGAUGGAUCCGCGCUGCAUUAGCUAGUUGGUAAGGUAACGGCUUACCAAGGCAACGAUGCAUAGCCGACCUGAGAGGGUGAUCGGCCACACUGGAACUGAGACACGGUCCAGACUCCUACGGGAGGCAGCAGUAGGGAAUCUUCCGCAAUGGGCGAAAGCCUGACGGAGCAACGCCGCGUGAGUGAUGAAGGUCUUCGGAUCGUAAAACUCUGUUAUUAGGGAAGAACAUAUGUGUAAGUAACUGUGCACAUCUUGACGGUACCUAAUCAGAAAGCCACGGCUAACUACGUGCCAGCAGCCGCGGUAAUACGUAGGUGGCAAGCGUUAUCCGGAAUUAUUGGGCGUAAAGCGCGCGUAGGCGGUUUUUUAAGUCUGAUGUGAAAGCCCACGGCUCAACCGUGGAGGGUCAUUGGAAACUGGAAAACUUGAGUGCAGAAGAGGAAAGUGGAAUUCCAUGUGUAGCGGUGAAAUGCGCAGAGAUAUGGAGGAACACCAGUGGCGAAGGCGACUUUCUGGUCUGUAACUGACGCUGAUGUGCGAAAGCGUGGGGAUCAAACAGGAUUAGAUACCCUGGUAGUCCACGCCGUAAACGAUGAGUGCUAAGUGUUAGGGGGUUUCCGCCCCUUAGUGCUGCAGCUAACGCAUUAAGCACUCCGCCUGGGGAGUACGACCGCAAGGUUGAAACUCAAAGGAAUUGACGGGGACCCGCACAAGCGGUGGAGCAUGUGGUUUAAUUCGAAGCAACGCGAAGAACCUUACCAAAUCUUGACAUCCUUUGACAACUCUAGAGA
Molecule: ribosomal RNA, 1015 nt
Filed under: Staphylococcus aureus
Lineage: Bacteria; Bacillati; Bacillota; Bacilli; Caryophanales; Staphylococcaceae
Description: bacterial SSU rRNA
Rfam family: Bacterial small subunit ribosomal RNA
Source: RNAcentral